UUUUUUCUCUAUUGCUUGUCUAGCAUAAUAAGAGGUAACCACAACACCUGAGAAGAUGAACCCAUAAAUACAUUUUUUUAUUAUAUUGAACCUGCCAAUAUCAGGUUUACUAAAAUCUGAACACUUGACACAUGUGAGAUUAAUUAUAGAAUUAGAUUUUAAAGUUGAUUUAAACAAUUGACUAGGCAAACGAUUUAACAACAUAGUUACUCGAAUAGAGGAGAAAAACAAGUCACAUGUUUCCAAUCAGCUGAUUUCAUCCACACUUGUGUUUUGCUUCACCAUUUUCAAUCUAAUGAACUUCAUUUUAAUCGAUUCAACAGCAAUUUAGCUAAUUUAAUUAUCAUAUUUUGAUCAAAAAAUUUGGAUAAUUGAUCAUGAAUUACUUCUGUCGGACAUUGGUCAAUACAUUAUUGGCUCGACCAGCUGUUACUCCUGAACUAAAUUUGAUGCAAAAGAGAGGUCCUAGAAUAUUUUUCAUGAAAAGAUUAUCUGAAGUGAAAACUCACCGUAAAAACUCAUUCAGAGCUCAUAUGUACCAGCCAAGCAAACGAAAAAUAAUAAUGCGAAAGCUCCUCAACAGCAAAUCCAUUCUGGCGACCUGCUAUUAACCUAAAUCAGGUACAUAUUUAUCAGGAUAUUGGAUCAAUUUAAAAAAGCAAAGUAACUAUGUUUAGAUAAAAUAGCAUUUACAGUUUGAUUAAAGUUCAACCUUAAGAUUGAUGACAAA
Tetranychus urticae (two-spotted spider mite) is the source of this 730-nucleotide long non-coding RNA. RefSeq lists it as uncharacterized. Lineage: Eukaryota; Metazoa; Arthropoda; Arachnida; Trombidiformes; Tetranychidae. The record is from RefSeq and is a predicted model, not a curated record.